Molecule: ribosomal RNA, 567 nt
Filed under: uncultured bacterium
Lineage: Bacteria
Description: bacterial SSU rRNA
Rfam family: Bacterial small subunit ribosomal RNA
Source: RNAcentral
GGAAUUUUGGACAAUGGGGGCAACCCUGAUCCAGCCAUUCCGCGUGAGUGAAGAAGGCCUUCGGGUUGUAAAGCUCUUUCGCAAGGGAAGAAAACUUAUGAUCGAAUAAAUCAUGAGGUUGACGGUACCUUGAUAAGAAGCACCGGCUAACUACGUGCCAGCAGCCGCGGUAAUACGUAGGGUGCGAGCGUUAAUCGGAAUUACUGGGCGUAAAGCGUGCGCAGGCGGUUUUGUAAGUCGGAUGUGAAAUCCCCGGGCUCAACCUGGGAACUGCGUUCGAAACUGCAAGGCUAGAGUGUGUCAGAGGGGGGUAGAAUUCCACGUGUAGCAGUGAAAUGCGUAGAGAUGUGGAGGAAUACCAAUGGCGAAGGCAGCCCCCUGGGAUAACACUGACGCUCAUGCACGAAAGCGUGGGGAGCAAACAGGAUUAGAUACCCUGGUAGUCCACGCCCUAAACGAUGUCAACUAGUUGUUGGUAGAGUAAAAUCUAUGAGUAACGUAGCUAACGCGUGAAGUUGACCGCCUGGGGAGUACGGUCGCAAGAUUAAAACUCAAAUGAAUUGACGG